UGGGGAAUAUUGCGCAAUGGGCGAAAGCCUGACGCAGCGACGCCGCGUGGGGGAUGAAGGCUUCGGGUUGUAAACCUCUUUCAGCAGGGACGAAGCGAGAGUGACGGUACC
This 111-nucleotide ribosomal RNA is filed under the name uncultured bacterium. RNAcentral describes it as "partial 16S ribosomal RNA". It matches the Rfam family "Bacterial small subunit ribosomal RNA", at positions 355 to 479 of the family's 1533-position model. The record is from RNAcentral.